RNAcentral lists this unclassified non-coding RNA (368 nucleotides) under soil metagenome. RNAcentral describes it as "partial contains 5.8S ribosomal RNA, internal transcribed spacer 2, and large subunit ribosomal RNA". The stretch from base 1 to 120 matches the Rfam family "5.8S ribosomal RNA", at positions 35 to 154 of the family's 154-position model. The record is from RNAcentral.
GAUGAAGAACGUAGCGAAAUGCGAUAAGUAAUGUGAAUUGCAGAAUUCAGUGAACCAUCGAAUCUUUGAACGCACAUUGCGCCCGGCAGUAAUCUGCCGGGCAUGCCUGUCCGAGCGUCAUUUCUGCCCUCGAGCGAGUCCAGCAUCUAGGUGCUGGGCCCGCCCGGCGUUGGGGCACUACGGGAAGCCCUGUGCUGUCCCCCGUAGGCCCCGAAAUGAAGUGGCGGUCCUGCCGCGGCGCCCCCUGUGUAGUAUAACAGCUCGCUUCGGGACCCGGUGGAGGCCUGCCGUCAAACCUUACUCUCUAAGUUUGACCUCGGAUCAGGUAGGGUUACCCGCUGAACUUAAGCAUAUCAAUAAGCGGAGGA